Peromyscus leucopus (white-footed mouse) is the source of this 3657-nucleotide long non-coding RNA. RefSeq lists it as uncharacterized. NCBI's taxonomy places the organism in Eukaryota, Metazoa, Chordata, Mammalia, Rodentia, Cricetidae. The record is from RefSeq and is a predicted model, not a curated record. The transcript is spliced from 2 exons.
CUGAGUCUGACAUAGCUCCGUCCAAAGUUUGGGGAACAGUGCAAGAUGAAGUGGCAAGCCUUCAUAGGCAACCAGGACACCUAGUGUUUGAAACAGAACAUCAGAACAGGUUAUAAUUGUAAGUUCUACUGACGAGUGACUGAACUGAAGGUACAAUACUGUUAGCUAUCUCUGGUUUUGACUGCAUCAUUACAAGAGAACUCAUUACAAUGUUUUAAGCAGUACAGAAAUUGAGAAUAUGGAAUUGUGAAUUUAUUUCUAUACCCUAUACCUCAUCCCCAGAAGGAUCUAAGACAAUAAUUUCAACCAGCUCUUAUUUUUGAGUACUGGGACUUAACUAGGAAGAUUAAAGUCACUGUGAGGGGUUUUCAAAGUUUUCUUGGAUUAAGGAAAUACUCUGUACAUUAGAAAAUUUCCCAGGCUUGCUACAUUUCAGAAGGGUGGGAGAGAAGGUGAGAACUAUGUUCUAGAGCAUUCCAUUUCUCCCCCUUUUGUUUUCUCUGUGUGUACUGAAGUAAACACUGUUGAGUCUACUACUGUCUCCUUGCUUUGUCCUCAGGACCUUCUGGGUAGAUCAGAUUUGGUACUGUUGGGACUCUGUGUGCACGUGCUUGUAUUCGUAUGUGUUUUCCUGGGGUCUGAAACCAGGGGCUCGGUAAGCUAGGUAAGCACUUUACCACUGAGCUACAGCCCAAGUCCUGAAACCCCUAAUUUAACCUCUUGUAGCCGUCAAUACAUUUCCCUAUGCUCCUCCUCUCCUCCACCCCCUCUGCCUCUCUUACAGAAGCUGCAAUGUCAGCUUCCUCCAUAAAUGUACUACUUCUACAUCUCUCCACCUUCAGGAAAAAUAUAACCACAGAGGAGAAAUAGAAUAUAAGCUAUCUUCCAGUUAAACAAAAAGUAUGGGCUGGGUCGGGAGAAGACAAGAUUUUCUGUAGUGAGCAGACACUAAAUAUAGGCCUGUGGCCAUCCGAUGCCCACUGCAGCUACUCAAGGCUGUGAAGGCAAUGCCAAAGUGGCAAGGACAGGAGCAAACGACUAAGGUCUGCUGGCUGCAAGUAAAACCUAACAAGUAUUAAAAUUUAAAUCACAAUUUUCGUGUGUCAUAAAACUAAUUUUCUUAGUAUAUAUAGUAUAUAAAUAUGAAGCCUACUUUUAGUAGGUAGCUGCUGGCUUUUUAAGAACUACUAGUAGGUAGGUUGUAGUUUGCCACUUCUUGGGUUAGGCCAAGGCUUUGAGACCUUUAAACAGCAAAUCACACACUUAAGGCUCUCUUUCAGAAUUAAGCCUAUUAGUCCCCUGUAAUGACAAGACAUUUCUUGUCCUUCCUUUAUUCUAAGCUAAUCUGGAUGGAGCUGGAAGCAUUUAUCAAUCAUAGCACAUAUACACAGACAAGCCAUCAAAGUGUGGCUACAGGGAAUGGUUUCUAUAGUCACAUACUCUUUCACUGUAACUGGUCAUAAGGGUUGGCAAAAUGUGACCCUCGGGCCAAGUCUGACCCACCUGUAUUAGGGUUGGGUGAGUCAGGAAUGGCUUUUAUCUUUGAUUCCACUCUGACACAUGGCCUGAGCUGGUCUUGGAACCCACAAUCCUCUUGUCUCUGACUCAGAAGCGUGGGAUUACAGGUGUACAGCUCCUAGACCUGGAAGCUUUGACGUUUUUAAGGACUGAUGACCUAGAACCCAUGGCCUGCAGAGCCUGUCACUAACGUCCAGCUCUCCACUCUGCCGGUCAGUGUCCAGACUGUGGCUCAGUAUCAACUCUCAUGGCAAGUCUGUAUUACCACUCAAGUUUUCAUUAACUGUUUCUUUCUUCAAAAAUUGUUCCUCAAAGUAAAACAAUCCUCCUUACUUUUCAACAGCUACAAAAAGCCAGCAUCAAUCACUACAACAAACCAACCCUGCAGACAUCUCUUAUGCUAUAAAAUCACCUUUGAAAACAAGAAGGAAAGGAACAUUUAUUGGCACCUACUACUGUAUUAGGUUAUGGAGAAUGUGCUGGCCUGACUCUGGAAUUUAGACACCCAUUUCAAUUCUUCUGGAGAUGAAAAAACUGGCAAGCAGUUUAAGAUUUAAGUUUGUUUCACAUGUGAUUACUAUGUGUAGCAUGUAUGGAUUUGCUCCUGGUGGACUGGUAAAGCUAGCUUUGGAUCUGCAUUAGAUGUCAGGGAUGGUCUGAAAUAUAGUCACUCUUUGAAGGGAAAACAGCCAUUUUCAAGUCUCCCUAAAAAGAAGCAGGAAUCAGAGUGUGCUUUCUAUAUGAAUACCAUGAAUUUGUAUAUGUUUAAUUUAGCCAAUGAAAGAAAUCCAUUUUAGGGGCUGGAGAGAUGGCUUGACAGUUCAGAGCACGCACUGCUCUCACAGAGGACCAGGGGUCUGAGUCCCAGGAUGAGUGUGGUGGCUCACAGCACCUGUAACUCUGGUCCCAGGGCUCUGUCUUCUGGCUCCUCCAGGCACCAGAAACACAAUGGUACACAGACAUGUGGAGGCAAACAUUCACACUCUUACGAUAAAUCAAUCUUUAAUAAAUGUGUAGCAAUGUGUUAAGGCACGCUCCUAUAAUCCCAGCACUACUGAAGCAGCAACAAGUGGAUCUCUGUGAGAUGCCAGCCCAUCUACCCUGAAUUAGACAGCCAGAGCUAUACAGUGUUGCUUUGUUUUUUAAGUAUAUGUUACUUGCAAAGAAUUUUCUUCUUUAACACAUUCAGAAAAAUUUCAUAAAUAAUGUUAAAUGCUAAAAAGGUACAAGACCCUUGUUUUGUCACUGAAAAUGAAAAUUUAAAUGAUGAUGAUGAUGAAACAACAAUUUAUUUAACUUUUAUCCAAGCAUCCUAUUAUUUAUUUUGCUCAUAAAUUUUGGGACGUAAAGUGAUUAAUUAUAGUUUGCCAAAACCAUUUUCCACGCUACUUAAAAAAAUUCUAAUCAUAAGCUGGGCAAGGUCAAGAAUACCUUUAAUACCUGCACUAAGAAAGCAAUAGAAAACAGAUCUCUGAGUUAGAGGCCAGUCUGAUCUACAGUGUAAGGAGUCAGGGCUACAUAGAGAUACCAUAUGUCAACAAAUAAAACAAAAACAUUGCAUGAUCAUUAUUAUAAUUUCACCCUUACAAAUGUAUUUAACUUAGAAAACAAAAGCACCCCAUGAUUUCAUCCUUAUGCAAUGACAGUAUUAUUCACUUGUUUUUGUUUAUUUUUAGACAGGAUCUCACUAUGUAGCUCUGGCUGUCCUAGAACUCACUAUGUAAACCAGGCGGGCUUUGAACUCAGAGUCUCUGUUUAUCAAGCGCUAGAAUUAAAGGUGUGCACAACCACUCUUAGCCUUAUGCCUGUUACUAAGGAUGAUAAUUCCACUCCUUUGUAAGAAUGUGGUUUUAAUCUCUGUAUUACUUGUUCACCCUGAGUGCUAGGGAUUGAACCCAAUACCUGGGUUUACUGCUGGAUCAAUACAUACCUUUCAAGUCUAUUUUCUAUAUAACUCAAGGAAUGUUAUCUAGUUUGUUUUGAAGAUUAUAUAAUACAAAUGAAAUGUCUUACUAAAAUAUGCUCUUAUUGAUGGACAUUUUUGUUUUCAAUUCCCCACACUGUGAAUGAAGUGAAAAUAAACAGCCUCUGUAUGUUGUCCUACACUGUUACAAAUAGAAUAAAUUUCUGCUUCUGCUA